UACGUAGGGUGCAAGCGUUGUCCGGAUUUAUUGGGCGUAAAGAGCUCGUAGGCGGUCUGUCGCGUCGGAUGUGAAAACCCAGGGCUCAACCCUGGGCCUGCAUUCGAUACGGGCAGACUAGAGUGUGGCAGGGGAGACUGGAAUUCCUGGUGUAGCGGUGAAAUGCGCAGAUAUCGGGAAGAACACCCGUGGCGAAGGCGGCUCUCUGGGACGGUACUGACGCUGAGACGCGAAAGCGUGGGGAGCGAACAGG
This 253-nucleotide ribosomal RNA is filed under the name uncultured bacterium. RNAcentral describes it as "partial 16S ribosomal RNA". It matches the Rfam family "Bacterial small subunit ribosomal RNA", at positions 524 to 776 of the family's 1533-position model. The record is from RNAcentral.